CGCCGAUUCCAACGGCUUCACCGCACGGGGAUGGAAUCACGAUGCCGCCACGGUCGCUCUGAGAGCAUCCCGGGAUUGCUUACAACGAAUGGAAAUGUUUGUGGAGGAGUUGGCAACUUGUAGGAAAGAGGAGGCGGCGUGCGUGACGAGUGCGGUGGAUAAGUUGAGUGGCUUUCGGGAGGAGAUGCUGUUGUUGGAGCAGGAGAGUGGCAGUGGUAGUCACUACGAGAU
RNAcentral lists this non-coding RNA (231 nucleotides) under Thalassiosira antarctica. The record is from RNAcentral. Lineage: Eukaryota; Bacillariophyta; Thalassiosirophyceae; Thalassiosirales; Thalassiosiraceae.